Molecule: ribosomal RNA, 301 nt
Filed under: uncultured bacterium
Lineage: Bacteria
Description: partial 16S ribosomal RNA
Rfam family: Bacterial small subunit ribosomal RNA
Source: RNAcentral
CAGUAGCCGCGGGAAUACGAAGGGGGCUAGCGUUGCUCGGAAUUACUGGGCGUAAAGGGAGCGUAGGCGGACAUUUAAGUCAGGGGUGAAAUCCCAGAGCUCAACUCUGGAACUGCCUUUGAUACUGGGUGUCUUGAGUGUGAUAGAGGUAUGUGGAACUCCGAGUGUAGAGGUGAAAUUCGUAGAUAUUCGGAAGAACACCAGUGGCGAAGGCGACAUACUGGAUCAUUACUGACGCUGAGGCUCGAAAGCGUGGGGAGCAAACAGGAUUAGAUACCCCUGUAGUCCCUGUCUCUUAUAC